This 498-nucleotide ribosomal RNA is filed under the name uncultured bacterium. RNAcentral's name for it is "partial 16S ribosomal RNA". It matches the Rfam family "Bacterial small subunit ribosomal RNA", at positions 29 to 523 of the family's 1533-position model. The record is from RNAcentral.
AUUGAACGCUGGCGGAAUGCUUUACACAUGCAAGUCGAGCGGCAGCGCGGGGUAACCUGGCGGCGAGCGGCGAACGGGUGAGUAACACAUCGGAACGUACCCAGUUGUGGGGGAUAGCCCGGCGAAAGCCGGAUUAAUACCGCAUACGACCUGAGGGUGAAAGUGGGGGAUCGCAAGACCUCACGCAGUUGGAGCGGCCGAUGGCGGAUUAGCUAGUUGGUAGGGUAAAGGCCUACCAAGGCGACGAUCCGUAGCGGGUCUGAGAGGACGACCCGCCACACUGGAACUGAGACACGGUCCAGACUCCUACGGGAGGCAGCAGUGGGGAAUUUUGGACAAUGGGGGCAACCCUGAUCCAGCCAUUUCGCGUGAGUGAAGAAGGCCUUCGGGUUGUAAAGCUCUUUCGGCAGGAACGAAACGGCGGACUCUAACAUAGCCUGCUAAUGACGGUACCUGAAGAAGAAGCACCGGCUAACUACGUGCCAGCAGCCGCCGUAA